Molecule: ribosomal RNA, 3337 nt
Organism: Neurospora crassa OR74A
Lineage: Eukaryota; Fungi; Ascomycota; Sordariomycetes; Sordariales; Sordariaceae
Rfam family: Eukaryotic large subunit ribosomal RNA
Source: Rfam
UAACCUCGGAUUAAGUAGGAAUACCCGCUGAAUUUAAAUAUAUUAAUAAGUAGAGGAAAAGAAAUUAAUAGGGAUUACCCUAAUAAUAGUGAAUAAAGUAAUAAUAAUUUAAAUUUAAAAUUUAAUUUUAGCCCGAAUUGUAAUUUAUAGAAGAAGCUUUUAGUAAGGUACUUUUUGAGUCCUUUAGAACGGAGCGUUAUAGAGGGUGAGAGUUUUGUAUAAUUGGAUGUUGAUUUAAUAUAAAGUUCCUUUGAUGAGUUGAGUAGUUUGGGAAUAUUAUUUAAAAUAGGAGGUAAAUUUCUUCUAAAGUUAAAUACUAGUUAGAGAUUAAUAGUAUAUAAAUAAAGUAAUUGAAAGAUAAAAAAUACUUUAAAAAGAGGGUUAAAUAAUAUAUAAAAUUAUUGAAAGGGAAGUGUUUGUAAUUAGAUUUAUACUAUUCUAAUUAUUUAAUAUUUUUAUUGGUAUAUUUGGGAUGGUUUAGGUUAGUAUCGGUUUUAGUAGGGGGAUAAAGGUCCGGGGAACGUAGCUCCUUUAGGAGUAUUAUAGCUCUGGGUGUAAUACUUUUGUUAGGACUGAGGUUUGUGUAUUUAUAAGGAUAUUAGUAUAAUAGUUAUUAAUAACCUAUUUUGAAAUAUGGAUUAAGGAAUUAAGGUUUUACGUAAGUAUUUGGGUAUAAAAUUUGUAUAUAUAAUAAAAGUGAAUAUAAGUGAGAGUUUUAGUAUAUUAUUAAUUAAUUCUAAUAUAUUUAGAUAGAUUUAAGUAAGAGUAUUAAACUUUAGAUUCGAAAGAUAAUGAAUUAUAUUUAAAUAGGGUAAAGCUAGAGGAAAUUUUAGUAGAGGUUUGUAACGGUUUUAACGUAUAAAUUAAUUAUUAAAUUUAAAUAUAGGGGUGAAAGAUUAAUUGAAUUAUUUAGUAGUUAAUUACUACCGAAGUUUCCCUUAGGAUAGUAAUAUUAUUUUUUAGUUUUAUAAGGUAAAACGAAUAAUUAGGGAUUCGGGGGCGCUUUUUAGCCUUUAUCUAUUUUUAAACUUUAAAUAUAUAAGAAGCCCUUAUUAUUUAAUUAAAUAUAGGUAUUCGAAUAUAUUAAUAUUAGUAGGUUAUUUUUAGUAAGUAGAAUUAGCGAUACGGAAUGAACCGAACGCGGGGUUAAAGUAUUGGAGUAGACGUUUAUUAGAUAUUAUAAAAAGUGUUAAUAUAUUUUAAUAGUAGGACGGUAGUUAUAGAAGUUAGAAUUUACUAAGGAUUAUAUAAUAAUUUACUUGCCGAAUAUAUUAGUUUUGAAAAUGGAUAGCGCUUAAGCGUCUUACCUAUACCUUGCCUUUAGAGUAGAAACGAUACUUUAAAAAGUAGGCGGUUGUAGAGGUUAGUAACGAAGUUUAGGGCGUAAGUUUGGGUUGAACGGCCUUUAGUAUAGAUUUUAUUAGUAGUAGUAAAUAUUUUAAUAAGAAUUUGAAGGACCGAAGUAGGGAAAAGUUCUAUAUAAAUAGCGGUUGGAUAUAGGUUAAUUAAUUUUAAAUUAUAGGGAAGUUCUGUUUUAAAGGGGUAUUUGUAUUUUGUAUAGCGAAAGGGAAGUUGGUUAAUAUUUUAAUAUUUGGAUGUAGGUUUUGCGCGGUAAUAUAAUUAAAUAUGGAGACGAUGGUGGAGGCUUCGGGUAGAAUUUUUUUUUCUUUUUAAUAAUCUAUUACUUUAAAAAUAGUUUAUUUAGAGAUAGGGUUUAAUAGUUAGAAGAGUUUAAUACUUUUAUUAGGUCCGGUACGCUUUUAAUAUCCUUUGAAAAUUUGUAGGAGGGAAUAAUUCUUAUAUUAGAUUGUACUUAUAAUUAUAGUAGGUCUUUAAAGUAAAUAGCUUUUAGUUAAUAGAAUAAUAUAAAUAAAGGAAGUUAGUAAAAUAGAUUUAUAAUUUUAGGAAAAGGAUUAGUUCUAAAGGUUAAGUAUAUCGGGCUUUGGGUAGAUGCCCUAAGAGUAGAUUACUACUAGCUAGGUAACUGGUUGGUAGCUUUUAGUAUCCAGGUAUAAAAGUUUUUAGUAGAUUUCGGUUGUCCGGUAUAUAUUUAAUAAUUAAUUUAGAAUUAGUAUAGAUAGGGGGAAUUUAAUUAUUUAAUUAAAAUAUAGUAUUACAAUAGUUAGAAAGUAGUAUUAAUAUAAUAUGAUUUUUAUUUAGUAUUUUAAAUAUUAAAGUGAAGAAAUUCAAUUAAGCGUAGGUAAAUAGCGGGAGUAAUUAUAAUUCUCUUAAAGUAGCUAAAUACUUCGUUAUUUAAUUAAUAAUACGUAUAAAUAGAUUAAUAAGAUUCUUAUUAUCCCUAUCUAUUAUUUAGCGAAAUUAUAAUUAAGGGAAUAGGUUUAGUAGAAUUAGUAGGGAAAGAAGACCCUAUUAAAUUUAAUUCUAAUUUAAUAUUAUAAAAAGAUAUAGGAGGUAUAGAAUAGGUAGGAGCUUUAGCGCCGGUAAAAUACUAUUAUUCCUAUUAUUUUUUUACUUAUUUAAUUAAGCGGGGCUGGAUUUUCAUCCAACUUCUAAUUUUAAGGUCCUUCGUAGGCUGACUCGGAUUGAAGAUAUUAUUAGGUAGGGAAUUUGGCUGGGGCGGUAUAUUUAUUAAAUUAUAAUAUAGGUAUUUUAAGGAGGGUUUAUAGAGAAUAGAAAUCUUUAGUAAAAUAAAAGGGUAAAAGUCCUUUUGAUUUUAAUUUUCAAUAUAAAUAUAAAUUAUAAAAGUGUAGUUUAUCAAUCUUUUAGUCCUUCGAAAUUUGAGGCUAGAGGUGCUAGAAAAGUUAUUAUAAGGAUAAUUGGCUUAUAGCGGCUAAGUAUUUAUAGCGAUAUUGCUUUUUGAUCCUUUGAUAUUGGUUCUUCCUAUUAUAUUGAAGUAGAAUUUGGUAAGCGUUAGAUUGUUUAUUUAUUAAUAGGGAAUAUAAGUUAGGUUUAGACUAUUAUAAAAUAAGUUAGUUUUACCUUAUUAAUAAUUUUAUUAUAAUAGUAAUUGAAUUUAGUAUAAAAGGAAUUGUUUAUUUAAAUAAUUAGUUUUUAUAAUUGUUCGACCGGGUAGUAUUGUAAUAUUACUAUUUAUUAGAUAAUAAUUAAACGCCUCUAAGUUAGAAUUUAUAUUAAAAUACAAUAAUACUUUUAAUAUAUUAUAAAUAUAUAAAAAUAAGCUCCGGCCUUAUAUUUUAGUAGGCGAUUCCUCUAUUAGCUUUAAAGUGGCUAGCGGUAAUUUAUAUAUUAUAAUUUUAAUAUAUAUUAAAUUAAAUUUUUUAUAGAUAAUUUAGAUAUACGAAAGGGUUUUAUAAGUAGUAGAAUAGUUUUAUUAUUAUAAUUUAUUAAGGGUAAGCCCUCCUUCAUUUAGAUUUUU